GACGAACGCUGGCGGCGUGCUUAACACAUGCAAGUCGAACGGAAAGGCUCCAGCUUGCUGGAGUACUCGAGUGGCGAACGGGUGAGUAACACGUGGGUGAUCUGCCCUGCACUUCGGGAUAAGCCUGGGAAACUGGGUCUAAUACCGGAUAGGACCGCACUUUGGUGUGUGUGGUGGAAAGGUUUUUCUGGUGUGGGAUGAGCUCGCGGCCUAUCAGUUUGUUGGUGGGGUAAUGGCCUACCAAGACGGCGACGGGUAGCCGGCCUGAGAGGGUGGACGGUCACAUUGGGACUGAGAUACGGCCCAGACUCCUACGGGAGGCAGCAGUGGGGAAUAUUGCACAAUGGGGAAAACCCGGAUGCAGCGACGCCGCGGGGGGGAUGAAGGCCUUCGGGUUGUAAACUCCGUUCGCUAGGGACGAAGCUUUUUGUGACGGUACCUGGAGAAGAAGCACCGGCUAACUACGUG
This 468-nucleotide ribosomal RNA is filed under the name uncultured bacterium. Its description in RNAcentral is "partial 16S ribosomal RNA". It matches the Rfam family "Bacterial small subunit ribosomal RNA", at positions 28 to 507 of the family's 1533-position model. The record is from RNAcentral.